Molecule: RNA transcript, 2368 nt
Organism: Gallus gallus (chicken)
Lineage: Eukaryota; Metazoa; Chordata; Aves; Galliformes; Phasianidae
Gene: MILR1
Gene name: mast cell immunoglobulin like receptor 1
Exons: 10
Source: RefSeq, a predicted model, not a curated record
ACAGACAACAUUACCGUUGUAUACGUUAGGAACACAGGGAGCAGCAGAGCAACCAAGACACUGCUCUGCUGAAUGUAAGCUCUGACCUGGGGACUUUAACAAUUCUGGGCUGCCUAUGAAUUUGCAACUAAUAUUUCCUCAUGUCCAGACUCUCAGUUCUGACCAUUGGGCCUCAAGCCGAAAACGAUAUCAAAGAAAGAAGAAUCAAAGGACAGACUCAUGGAGAGCUCAAUCCACUCAGCAGAUUCAGAAUGCGACUGCAGACUACAGAGAGAUCCUUUCCAACCCCAUGCUCACACCUCUUCAUGGUACUUUGGAAGUAGUGAUGAAGCAGGAAGUAAGCCUCUCCUGUCACUUGGACUCUGGAUCUCCUCCUGUCAGAUAUACACUAUUUAAAAACCGUCAGAAGCUAUCUGCUUUAAAUAGGACAGACUUGACUCCAGUUUUGUUUAACUUAACUAUCAAUUCUGCCAGUGAUGUGGGUGAAUACAAGUGCAAAGCUCAGAAUGAAAUCUCCAACAGUGAAAAAUACAGCAGAAGUCUCAACUUUACACUUAAAGAGCCAGUUUCCAAACCAGUGCUGAGCUCACCCAAUUCUCAAGCAAAGAAAGGCCAAAACGUGACCUUGUCUUGUCUCUCGGAGAAUGGCUCUCUCCCUAUCACAUACACAUUCUUCAAAGACAGACAAAGCAUCCAACCCCCGGUGAAGAUGCAGAACAGGGAAGCAGCAGUGAUUUCUGUACUUAUCAAAUCCUCCAAUGACUUUGGAAUGUAUAAAUGCAAAGCUGAAAACUGCUUUCACAAUAAGACAAAAUACAGCAACGGUUUCAAUUUCACAUUAGCAGAGGAGAGAAGCAAUUCUCAACCCCUUAUCAUUUGCCUUGGACUGACCUUGCUACUGUUAGCAAUAGGAUUUGCUCUGGCAAUUCCAUUCUUCAUAAUUCCUUUAUAUAAAGCAAAAAAAUUUACACCUACUAGGUCCUCAACUGGCCAUACUUCAAAAGAGAAAGUAGAAGAGUCAGAAGACUACGUCACAUACGCAGAGAUUGAGCCAAUUCAACCAGAAGCAUGCGUGAACCUCUCUGUUAUUAGAAGAGAUGAACAAGAGAACAGAGCAUGUGCUACCAUCUAUUCAGAGGUCCUGGUCGGAGAAGGAGCACAAGCUGGACCACUCCAUUCUCCAGAGUAGAAUCACUUAUCAAGAUCAUGAAGAGAACACCCAUCUCAUCAUACCUGCAAUGAAAAGAUCACAUCCAUUACUGCUUUUGAUGUAUGAAAUUUUAGAUAAGGAAAAUGCCUCACUGCUAUCUGUAAUCCAGCUUUUCUGCUCUUCUCAGAAACCCCCGAACUCUGCUGGAAGAGACAGUUUCCGCCAGCAUUUUCUCUCCCUCUCAAAGCAACUGCAUUCCAAUUCCCCUCAAUUACACUACUUACAUGGCAAAAGCUUACUACUCGUGGGAGAGAAGGUAUGAAAGAAAAAGUGAUCUCUGAAUGAGAGAAAAAAUGUUUAUGUGGGUAAAAAGGACUACAGAAGUAGUCCCAUGUGCCCAGUCUAUUGCUCGUAGUGAAAACUGUUCUGCCUGCACCCCUUGGGGAAGGGAACAAGGGACAGAGACAUGGAAGAAAGGUGACUGAAUUUAUCACCUUCUCUAUGGAUUAUUAGGUUUGCACUCAACACAGCACUCUCAAACAACAAAAGCACUUUGCUGCUUGCUUUCACAGACACAAUGAUCUCUGCUGACCUACGAUGUGAUUUUUGCCAUUCAGGCCCCAUACUUAAGCACAUCCCUUCCCUCCAUCACCCAUUCUCCCUUUCACUAGUUACCUUUCUCUGUGAAUUUUUCUUUGUUGUCAGUGGAUUCUCAGCCAGCUGGAGAGAAUCAAAGAGAUAAGCUAAUGCUCCUUGGUCCAGAUUUCCACUCACAGACAGAACAUGAGGAAUAACACUCUUCCUUCCAUCUCGGCCCUGAUGAGGAAAAAAUAAAUAAAUCAUAAAAGCCACCAACCAACCAUGAUGGGGUGGAUACCUGCAAGACUGCUUCAGAGGGUCUUUUUUUUUAUUUUACAUGUAUAAAGAGGCACUGAGCUCAAGUAUCCUUAUAUUCAGACAUAUCUUACAAUCAGCUGCAUUUUAAAGUUACUGGCAACCUUAACAUGUAACAGUAACUCAAUUAGUUUGUAACAAAGAGAAGAACAGUACUGCUCACUGCUAAUUUCCAAGAAAUAGCUUCAUGCAUAAACAAUGUAGCAUCAUUAUUCUGUCUUCUUCUGAAAAUAACACCUGCCAAUGAAGGUCCGAUAGCAGCAUAUCAAUUUCACCAUAAAAGAAAAAUGGUCACACAAUAAACAAUUGGAUCAGCAAAUAAAA